This 311-nucleotide ribosomal RNA is filed under the name uncultured Pelagibacterales bacterium. RNAcentral's name for it is "SSU rRNA". It matches the Rfam family "Bacterial small subunit ribosomal RNA", at positions 29 to 367 of the family's 1533-position model. Lineage: Bacteria; Pseudomonadati; Pseudomonadota; Alphaproteobacteria; Candidatus Pelagibacterales. The record is from RNAcentral.
ACGUACGCUGGCGGCACGCCUAACACAUGCAAGUCGAACGAAGUAGCAAUACUUAGUGGCAGACGGGUGAGUAACAUGUGGGUAUCUACCCUUUGGCCUGGAAUAACACGAGGAAACUUGUGCUAAUACCGGAUAAGUCUUUACGGAGAAAGCUUUAUGCACCAUUGGAUGAGCCCGCACUUGAUUAGUUUGUUGGUAGGGUAAUGGCCUACCAAGGCUACGAUCAGUAGCUGGUCUGAGAGGAUGAUCAGCCACACUGGGACUGAGACACGGCCCAGACUCCUACGGGAGGCAGCAGUGGGGAAUAUUGG